UCCACGAGAUCUGGCUGACUGGAAAUGUCACAUGUAUCCCAAUGAUCAUGAUUUGAUUUUCAAAAACAAAACUUAAGGAAUCUGCGAUCGAGUUGGAUGCCAUAUAUAUACCCUGACAGCUGCACUAAUAAUCCUAAAAAGUUUUGAUUAUGAACUUUAUUCUGGAGAAAAUGUGCCUCAAAGAGACCUUUGUGAUGAAUUAAGACACUGUGUUAGGAUUUAAAAGAAUCUGAUCUUCUGGACACCUUGUGAGCAUAAGGAAGUGUACUCUUGAGAACCUUAUUUUUUAUUGGAGAACUGUACUUGAAAAUAAGCAUAGAGUAAAUUUGUAUUUACUAUCUAAUAAAGUUUUUAUUUGAAUCAA
Long non-coding RNA from Saccostrea echinata, 364 nucleotides. RefSeq lists it as uncharacterized. NCBI's taxonomy places the organism in Eukaryota, Metazoa, Mollusca, Bivalvia, Ostreida, Ostreidae. The transcript is spliced from 2 exons. The record is from RefSeq and is a predicted model, not a curated record.